ACUGAAUAUUUUCUCCGAGCCUUUCCUCCUAAUGGCUUUGCCUACGGAGACUGGCCGGCAGGGUGCCGCGGGAAACGGCGGCGCCUCCCGCGUUUGGAAAGGAGAAUGGUCUUGACCGGC
This 120-nucleotide non-coding RNA is filed under the name Chloroflexota bacterium. RNAcentral describes it as "Chloroflexi bacterium MoCo sequence". It matches the Rfam family "Molybdenum/Tungsten riboswitch aptamer (Moco RNA motif)". The record is from RNAcentral. Lineage: Bacteria; Bacillati; Chloroflexota.